AUUGAACGCUGGCGGCAUGCCUUACACAUGCAAGUCGAACGGUAACAGGUCUUCGGAUGCUAACGAGUGGCGAACGGGUGAGUAAUACAUCGGAACGUGCCCAGACGUGGGGGAUAACGAGGCGAAAGCUUUGCUAAUACCGCAUACGAUCUAAGGAUGAAAGCAGGGGACCGCAAGGCCUUGCGCGUUUGGAGCGGCCGAUGGCAGAUUAGGUAGUUGGUGGGAUAAAAGCUUACCAAGCCGACGAUCUGUAGCUGGUCUGAGAGGACGACCAGCCACACUGGGACUGAGACACGGCCCAGACUCCUACGGGAGGCAGCAGUGGGGAAUUUUGGACAAUGGGCGAAAGCCUGAUCCAGCAAUGCCGCGUGCAGGAUGAAGGCCUUCGGGUUGUAAACUGCUUUUGUACGGAACGAAAAGGCUCUGGCUAAUACCUGGGGCACAUGACGGUACCGUAAGAAUAAGCACCGGCUAACUACGUGCCAGCAGCCGCGGUAAUACGUAGGGUGCGAGCGUUAAUCGGAAUUACUGGGCGUAAAGCGUGCGCAGGCGGUUUCGUAAGACAGAGGUGAAAUCCCCGGGCUCAACCUGGGAACUGCCUUUGUGACUGCAAAGCUGGAGUGCGGCAGAGGGGGAUGGAAUUCCGCGUGUAGCAGUGAAAUGCGUAGAUAUGCGGAGGAACACCGAUGGCGAAGGCAAUCCCCUGGGCCUGCACUGACGCUUAUGCACGAAAGCGUGGGGAGCAAACAGG
Molecule: ribosomal RNA, 751 nt
Filed under: uncultured Comamonadaceae bacterium
Lineage: Bacteria; Pseudomonadati; Pseudomonadota; Betaproteobacteria; Burkholderiales; Comamonadaceae
Description: bacterial SSU rRNA
Rfam family: Bacterial small subunit ribosomal RNA
Source: RNAcentral